AUCAGAGGCCACACUCAUCGUAGCAGAGAGGCAGGACCAACUGGGAGAGGGUCCUUCUGUGACACCUACUGCAUCACUGGGCUGUGUGAAGUGACUCAGCUGCCAGAACUCACACAACAUCAUUCUACACCAAAACCUCAUGGGAAAAAUGCUCCACGACCCUCAGAAUUAAACAGUAGCACUGGCUCCUGCCCAGAUCUCCAGCUCCCUGACCCUCAAACUCCAACUCCAACACCAGCUCAGCCCCAGGUCUCCAGCUCCACAAUCCUCAAACUACAACAGCAGCACCAGCUCCCCUGUGGAUCUCCAGCUCAACGACUCUCAGACUUGGGAGGCAGCACCAGCCCCCACCAAGCCUCCAGCUCCAUAACCCUCAAGCUAGAACAGCAGCACCGGCUACUCCCUGGGUCUCCAGUUCCCUCAAACUUCAACUAUAGCACUGGCUCUUCCCCAGGGCCACCAGCUCCACAACCCUCAACUUACACGGUGGUAGCACCAGCACCUCCCUAAGUCUCCAGCUACACAACCGUCAAACUUGAACUGCAACCCCAGCUCCUCUUCGGC
RNAcentral lists this long non-coding RNA (564 nucleotides) under Pongo abelii (Sumatran orangutan). RNAcentral describes it as "lincRNA". The record is from RNAcentral. Lineage: Eukaryota; Metazoa; Chordata; Mammalia; Primates; Hominidae.